GGAGAGAUGGCAGAGUCCGGUUGAAUGCGCCGCACUCGAAAUGCGGUUAACCCUUUGGGUUACGGGGGUUCGAAUCCCUCUCUCUCCG
RNAcentral lists this transfer RNA (88 nucleotides) under Fidelibacterota bacterium. RNAcentral describes it as "tRNA-Ser". It matches the Rfam family "tRNA". From Rfam's summary of the family: Transfer RNA (tRNA) molecules are approximately 80 nucleotides in length. Their secondary structure includes four short double-helical elements and three loops (D, anti-codon, and T loops). Lineage: Bacteria; Pseudomonadati; Fidelibacterota. The record is from RNAcentral.